RNAcentral lists this long non-coding RNA (235 nucleotides) under Podarcis muralis (Common wall lizard). RNAcentral describes it as "lncRNA (ENSPMRG00000014640.1)". Lineage: Eukaryota; Metazoa; Chordata; Lepidosauria; Squamata; Lacertidae. The record is from RNAcentral.
GGGACCCUCCUUUCUGGAGAACCUUCUUACGUCUCCUUGUCUUGUCCUGAUGCCUCUAAAGCUUCAACCCUGGGAGCCCAUCUUGAACUCUGGAAUUUUACCAGGAAAGAUUAAAGAGUGCUUUGGGUGACUUCCUGUUACUUUUCACUCUCCAGAUCAUCCUGCGCUGCCCUUUUAGCACUUCCAUAUCUUCUUUGACUUCUGGUGACUGAGGAUGGUGCCUGACUGCUGCUCU